CGCCCCCGCGACGAGCGGAGGCGGCGAUGCGGGCGGUCGCGGAGGUGCGCGUCCCCGCCCGCCCGGUGGCCCGCGGAAACGCGCUCCCUGCCGGAGCCUCUUUGGGAAACCAUCGGAGGGGGGCGACUGAGGCGGGGAGACGCGACAGCUGUCUGCAGGCGUCCCGAGACCCGGGGCCUGGGCACCUGCGGGGCGCCAGCUUGCUUGUGCCCUUCGCUGCGUCGGGGUGACCGCGGCCGGCACUCUCGGGGCUCAGUUUCCCCCUGUGUACAGUGGGCGACGGCGACCUCCGGGCUAGAAGGCACGUUCCGUGAGCACUUCCGGGACUCGGUCAUGGGGCCGGCCUAGCGCGGGGAGGGUGGCCUGUGCUGUCCACCCUGCUGCUGCUUCUCUGGAGGCUCUGCCCAGGGCAGGUUCCCAGGAUGCCCCUUUCUGCAACCCCUUCUUUGCUUCGGAACCUAAUUCCCAGGGCCUGCAGCGGCUUCCUGUGUGCGUCUUACUCUCUCCUCAUGAAAUGGGCUAGGCCUCGCCGCGCUGUGACCUAAGCUCCUUACGCUAGAUUGUCUUCCAGGAAAAGACCUUUCAGAACUUGGAACGGCUUUUCAGGAAUGUGCCUGUCCUCGGAGAGACCUAAACAGAAGCCAGGCCACCCAGUCCAGGAUGUCGGGAGCUCACAGUCCUCUGCUUAGAACAUGUCUAUCCAGAAAAGCAGCAGACCUAGGUGUCCCGGGCAUCUGAACACCAGGGUCACCUUCCCUUCCUAAGAAGCCCCUGCCGUCAAUCAGGAGGAGCAGCCUGGAGCUGGGGGCCUUGGCCUCCCGUCUCCGCCCCCGAAAGCCUUUCACCCUGCAGACACCGGUGUCCUAGGUGCUGGCUUCCGUGGGCACUGGCAGUGAGCUCCUCCUCACGGGUGUCCCUCCACCCAUGCCCACGUCCUUCCCUACCAGGACUGGCUCCGUCAUAAUUUAUAGGCCCCAAUUCAAAAUGAAAACAUGGGGUCUGUGGUUCAAAAAUCAUUAAGAAUUCCAAGAAGGGGACCACAGAGCAUCCAGCCCUGCUGAGCAGGGGCCCUUCUGAGAGGGGCCCGGGGCGACCCUCAGAUCCCAGGCCAGGGAAAAAAAAGUCCGUCUUUCCCCAAGCCCUCCCCCACCUCAGUGAUUUGGGAAACACUUAUUUAUCAAUUCUACUGUGUUAAAAUAGAGGUGAUAUAAAAGGCA
Ictidomys tridecemlineatus (thirteen-lined ground squirrel) is the source of this 1217-nucleotide non-coding RNA. NCBI's taxonomy places the organism in Eukaryota, Metazoa, Chordata, Mammalia, Rodentia, Sciuridae. The record is from RefSeq and is a predicted model, not a curated record.